Small nucleolar RNA from Phyllostomus discolor (pale spear-nosed bat), 128 nucleotides. RefSeq annotates it as small nucleolar RNA SNORA27. Lineage: Eukaryota; Metazoa; Chordata; Mammalia; Chiroptera; Phyllostomidae. The transcript has a single exon. The record is from RefSeq and is a predicted model, not a curated record.
UACCCCCUUUUCACUUUGCCAACUGGACUUGUGUCUUUAAUUGGCCAUUCAAGUGGGGCAAAGGAACUGUCCUUUUAAAACUCAAGCAAACUGGGUGUUAGUCUUGUAUCCUGUCACAGGAAACAAGU